Molecule: long non-coding RNA, 1125 nt
Filed under: Haliotis rufescens (red abalone)
Lineage: Eukaryota; Metazoa; Mollusca; Gastropoda; Lepetellida; Haliotidae
Description: uncharacterized LOC124130567, transcript variant X5
Source: RNAcentral
UUUAAAGAAUCUAUUAAUUAUGGAGGCAACAAUUACUUAACCAUAAAUGAUUACAAUUUUCACAUAAGAAAUAAAAAUUACUGAAAGCAAUUCAUGUGGUAAAAGCAGUAUUAUGUUUAAUAAAUUUACAGUUCCUGCUCAAAAAGAAAAGAAAUUAACUCGGGACGCCAAAAGAAGCGUCAAGAUGCCACAUGUAUGGUGCACCACACCGGCCAAAUCCUCUCUGAAUACAGGGCGGAUCUCAAAGCAAGGAGUGGUAGUCAAAGCGGUUGACACCACUGUAUGAAAAGCCCACAGUUGGUGAGAACUUACGUCUUUACCAUUUUGGGGAGAUGUCCAGAAGAAAGGGGAAGUCUGGCUAUUACAAGGAAGCCAAUGUCGUUCUGAAGAGAAGCCCACUUUAAAUAACCACAAUAAGAAUGCAGGACAACUUUCAAGAUAACACCAACGGCUUUAAAAUGGGAACCGACUUGUACAAAGUGCAAGAUGGAGUAUACACGUUCUCCCAAAGGACGAAAAUUUUGACAUGUGGUACUUUUAAUUACGAGAUGCUGCAAGCAUUCCAAUAUCCUCCAGUUACGACCAUAGCUGAAUUGAAGUCAGUUCAAGGAAGAGUAGUUGAGGUCUCAGAACACAGUAGUGUUGAAUUAAAGACAGUAACUCGGACACAGAAACCAUCCAACUGAAGCUCUGGGGAGAACAUGGAAAAACGGAGUUGCCGUUAACUGAAGUUGUGAAUGUGCAAUGUGUGACACUGAAGGAAUUUCAGCAAAAGCUGGAUUUAAAUUUCACACCAAAAACAAAUGGUUGUGGAACAACUUACCCAGAGAAUUACGGGAUUUAAGACUGAGCGUCAUAUUGCGUGUUCACGACAAUCCAAUGGUCAUGGCGAAUGAUCAGCUCUUUCAGUGUGACCGUGAAACAAUUGAAUCUGUUUCCGGACAAGGAAGUGCCGAGCGGCCUUUAUCACCUUUGUAAGAGGUGAUGUUCUGAUUUCACCAGUACCAGAAGAUGAGCGAGCGAGGUUUUUAACGCCGUUUUUAGCAACAGUCGAGCAAUAUCACGGCGGGGACACCAGAAAUUAGAAGCGUAAAUAUGUACAAAUUAAAUAAAUCAUGACAAUUA